UGGUUUGCCUGGAAACCAUUCUUUCUUGGAACCAAACCUAGGUGAGGAGGAGCUUCAAAUGGUAGUUAUAGUACAUCCAGUUAUUUUAGAAUAGAGUUNUCUGCCUGAAGUCCUGCAGAAAGAGACCAAGCUGCCACUUGAAAAGGACAAAGAAGGGCAGAGUGACUGAGGUUUCAUCUACAUGUCUGCAAAUGGGCAUUUCAUGGCUGGCAAGGUGUCACUGCCCAUUUGUGGGCUGGAGAAGCCCACCGAUACGUCCAUGGUUCCAAAGUACCUCCUCAAGGCCACCAGCGCAUAUCUACAGGAGCCCCAUAAUGCUGGAAUUCCAGCUNUGGAAGGAAGUGUGGCUGGAAUUCUGACUGUUGAGUUGGCUUNCGGCUGGGUCACCAGGCCAAAUGCCAGCCUGCAGUCGACUCUGCAGGAAGNGGUGUCCUGUUGAGAAAAGCCUAGAUGAGAUACAACAAGAGAAAGUGAUGCUUGCCUGAGAAGAUAC
RNAcentral lists this long non-coding RNA (493 nucleotides) under Salvator merianae (Argentine black and white tegu). RNAcentral's name for it is "lncRNA (ENSSMRG00000007160.1)". Lineage: Eukaryota; Metazoa; Chordata; Lepidosauria; Squamata; Teiidae. The record is from RNAcentral.